UUUUUUUUUUGUUUCUACUAUGAAUAUGUGAAUAUGUCUAUGAUAUGAAAUACUUUAUUAUUUCCAAGAGGGAGAAAGAAAAGGAUGGGCGAAAUUGAAGUUAGCUGCCUAAUCAGGUUUAAAUUAGAAUCAAGGUUCAAACUUUAUGUUAUUGAGCCAACUGCUUCAAAUAUUUUUACCCUAAGCGUAUGUAAUUGUUUUCUCAACUCUUUGCUCAUGAUGUCAGGAGAUAUGGUCAUGUG
This 242-nucleotide unclassified non-coding RNA is filed under the name Hevea brasiliensis (rubber tree). Lineage: Eukaryota; Viridiplantae; Streptophyta; Magnoliopsida; Malpighiales; Euphorbiaceae. The record is from RNAcentral.